CGGGUGUGGCUUCUCCCUUCUUUCCCGCUGGUCUGUCUCCUCCGCCGCCGCCCUCCACCGCCGCCUCCAGCUCCGGUGCCGCCCUCACCGCCACCUCAAUCCCUCCUUAGUCCUCAAACCCUAGGAACCGGCCGCUGCUACCUCCUCCUCAACCACUACUGCCUCUUCUCAUGUCAACCCGGCAGCCGGAAGUACGCACCGCGCCUGCCUCAGGCCCCGCCCCGGGCCGAUGGCCAAUCCUCGCGGGAAACUUCCGAGGGAGGCGGGGCCAAAGGGAGGUCCCGAAGAGUGGUGGGGAACACUUCCCUUUCUGCCUCUUUACUGCUCUUUCGUCAGGUCCCGCGAGACGUCGGGUCCGAGCUCUCUUGCUCCGCCCCGCCCUCCCCGGGCUUCCGGCUGAGACCUGGGCACGCGCUCUGUUACCUAGGCGACUCCCUGAGGGCCACCUGGAUUUAGUUCUGUCUUGGACUCCUUCCCAGGACCUAUGAAGUUCUUCAGGUUCAUAGCAUCACCUGGUGGUUUGAACUCCACCAAAAGGAAAUGCAUUGGAGAUUUCUAGAGGUAAGCCCUGACUUUUGGGGGAGUUUCCCUUUCAUCUCAGACACGGACAGGCAUCAGGUUUUUUUACCCUGAAGUCUUAGACUUUCCAUGGAAGGGAAAUAUACUUAUGUUUUCUACAGAUGUAAGCUCCUUUUCAUUGUACUUACAUUGCCCAAAUAAUUUAUGAUAAGAGUAGAAGGCCAAAUACUAGUCCUUCCUUCCCAUGCCAUAACUUUACUCUCUUGCUGAUCUGCUCACUUCCAGGGAUCACACACAAUCUUCUCUCAAGAGGCUUCUGCUACCCAGCACCUCCCUUUCUGAGCACAGAACAAGUCAAAUGGGUCCUUCACAGGUAGAUUCAAAGUUUCAAAGGCUUUCCUCCCCCUAAAUUGCUGAAGUUGAUCUGAAAACUUCUCUGAUCAACCAACCCCUUACAUAAAGAGUAGGAAAGUGUCUAAGAAGGGUAAAGUGACCUGACCAUCAGUUCACACAGUUACUUAAUGUCAAAGAACGGAUUUAAAUUGUAAAUAAAACAAAAUAUUCUCUCUUUUACUUCUCUACA
This 1102-nucleotide long non-coding RNA is filed under the name Monodelphis domestica (gray short-tailed opossum). RNAcentral describes it as "lncRNA (ENSMODG00000046614.1)". Lineage: Eukaryota; Metazoa; Chordata; Mammalia; Didelphimorphia; Didelphidae. The record is from RNAcentral.